GUAUGUAUGUAUGUAUGUAUGUGUAUGUAUGUAUGUAUAUAUAUAUAUAUAAAAAGGAAAAAUACCGGCACUCAAGGAUUUUCGAAAAUUCAUUACUCCAUUUAUUGUGGAAAAAUCAAAAUCGACGUUUCAGCUCCUUUAGGAAGCUUUCAUCCGGACACCGGUGCUACACCUCCUAAUUCCCUUUACAUUUUACUAGUAGCUUCUACUCUCCAUUAACUUCCUUAAGCUAUCAAUUUCAAAUUCACUCUAUCUCUUGUCUCAAAUCCCCAUUAUUUUCUAUAGAUUGUAAGCUCAUGGGUUAUCUAAGCACUUUGUUUAAAAGAUCUCAAUGGUUAGAUCCCCGCUCACGGCAGGGCCCUCCUUACCAUUUGUAUUUGUUUGUGUAUAUUGUACCUUCUUCCCUAAUUGUACAGAGCUGAGGAAUAUGUUGGAGCUUUAUAAAUGCCAGUAAUAAAUAAAUAAAGCAAAUUUAGGCUUAAAGGACCACUAUGGAGUCAGGAACACAAACCUGUAUUCCUGACCCUAUAGUGUUAAAAUCACCAUUUAGGGUCCCUCAUGCCUCCAUAAAUAUAGUAAAAAUCUUACUGUAUUCAAGCCUGAAGCUGUAACUCUGCAUUCUGUUAGACUCAGAAAAACAAGCAGUCUGCUGACAUCAUCAGAAGUGGUAGCCUGAUCCAAUCACAAUGCUUCCCCAUAGGAUUGGCCGAGACUGACAAGGAGGCAGGUCAGGGGAAGAGCCUACAUGAUUCACACACAGCCCUGGCCAAUCAGCAUCUCCUCAUAGAGAUGAAUUGAAUCAAUGCAUCUCUGUGAGGAAAGUUCAGUGUCUGCAUGCAGAGGGAGGAGACACUGAAUGUUUGAAUGCAUUUUAGGCAGCCAUGACCCAGUAAGGAUCUCUAACAGCUAUCUGGGGAGUGGCCAGUGAAGUUAUAACUAGGCUGUAAUGUAAACACUGCAUUUUCUCUGAAAAGACAGUGUUUACAGCAAAAAUCAUGCAGGUAAUGAUUCUACUCACCAGAACAAAUUUAAUAAGCUGUAGUUGUUCUGGUGGCUAUAGUGUCCCUUUAAUAUUCCAGAGGUUAGACAAUCUAUACAUUUUACACUUAUAUACUCCUGAGAUGUUACACUUAACGAGUUUCACAUACGGUUAGGCUUUAUCAAAAGCUUUUUUAUCUAACUGUAAUUUAAAACUUUUUCCAUAAUCUUUUAUAUUACACAAUUUUCAUACAAUAUUUAGAUGAUAGCAAUUUGUGUGUGAUUGAAAUCUGCUAUCUAAUUAUUUAUUGCAGUAUCUUAUUUUUAACACUG
Molecule: non-coding RNA, 1311 nt
Organism: Pelobates cultripes (western spadefoot toad)
Lineage: Eukaryota; Metazoa; Chordata; Amphibia; Anura; Pelobatidae
Source: the annotation of a GenBank genome assembly